UCGCAUCUGUGCAUGCAGAUAUCAAUAAGCGGAGGAAAAGAAACUAACAAGGAUUCCCCUAGUAACGGCGAGUGAAGCGGGAAGAGCUCAAAUUUGAAAUCUUAAAGGGUUUCCCUUUACGAAUUGUAGUUUAAAGAAGUGUUUUCUGUUGAGGUUUUGGUAAAAGUUCUUUGGAAUAGGACAUCAUAGAGGGUGAGAAUCCCGUAUUUGACCUUUACUUUCAACUUUGUGAUACACUUUCAAAGAGUCGGAUUGUUUGGGAAUGCAGUCCAAAAUGGGUGGUAAAUUUCAUCUAAAGCUAAAUAUUGGCGAGAGACCGAUAGCGAACAAGUACCGUGAAGGAAAGAUGAAAAGAACUUUGAAAAGAGAGUUAAACAGUACGUGAAAUUGUCAAAAGGGAAGCGUUUGGACACCAGUGUUGUUUUUCUGAAAAUCAAUUAAAGAACUGUUUAUGCUAAGUUGUUUAGACUUUAUCAGCUAUCUGUUUAGUUUUGAGCUUUUCUUUAAUGCACUUUUCAGUUAACAAGUCAACAUCAAUUUCUUUUGCUGUAAAAAAGCUUGAGGAAGGUGGCUUGAGAUUCGUCUUAAGUGUUUAUAGCCUCUUGCCUAUGCAGUCGGAGAGAUUGAGGUCUGCAGCGUAGAUCCUUCGGGGCUAAAUGCAUUUGUGCUAAGUUAUAGCAUUUCAUAGACAACUUGUUGACUAUGAUUUGUCUUGUAGCUUACUCGCUUAUGUUAUUUUACCUACGCUUAGGAUGUUGACAGCAGUAUAGACUGU
This 775-nucleotide ribosomal RNA is filed under the name uncultured Neocallimastigales. RNAcentral describes it as "partial large subunit ribosomal RNA". It matches the Rfam family "Eukaryotic large subunit ribosomal RNA", at positions 24 to 634 of the family's 3401-position model. Lineage: Eukaryota; Fungi; Neocallimastigomycota; Neocallimastigomycetes; Neocallimastigales. The record is from RNAcentral.